This 465-nucleotide ribosomal RNA is filed under the name Vreelandella stevensii. RNAcentral's name for it is "partial 16S ribosomal RNA". It matches the Rfam family "Bacterial small subunit ribosomal RNA", at positions 338 to 795 of the family's 1533-position model. The record is from RNAcentral. Lineage: Bacteria; Pseudomonadati; Pseudomonadota; Gammaproteobacteria; Oceanospirillales; Halomonadaceae.
CCUACGGGGGGCUGCAGUGGGGAAUAUUGGACAAUGGGCGAAAGCCUGAUCCAGCCAUGCCGCGUGUGUGAAGAAGGCCUUCGGGUUGUAAAGCACUUUCAGUGGGGAAGAAAGCCUUGGGGCUAAUACCCUCGAGGAAGGACAUCACCCACAGAAGAAGCACCGGCUAACUCCGUGCCAGCAGCCGCGGUAAUACGGAGGGUGCGAGCGUUAAUCGGAAUUACUGGGCGUAAAGCGCGCGUAGGCGGUCUGAUAAGCCGGUUGUGAAAGCCCCGGGCUCAACCUGGGAACGGCAUCCGGAACUGUCAGGCUAGAGUGCAGGAGAGGAAGGUAGAAUUCCCGGUGUAGCGGUGAAAUGCGUAGAGAUCGGGAGGAGUACCAGUGGCGAAGGCGGCCUUCUGGACUGACACUGACGCUGAGGUGCGAAAGCGUGGGUAGCAAACAGGAUUAGAUACCCCAGUAGUC